This 333-nucleotide long non-coding RNA is filed under the name Equus caballus (horse). RNAcentral's name for it is "lncRNA (ENSECAG00000048255.1)". Lineage: Eukaryota; Metazoa; Chordata; Mammalia; Perissodactyla; Equidae. The record is from RNAcentral.
GGGAGAGCUACAUGUGAAUACACCUUGCGAAGCAUAAGCACAUCCUGGCCACGGAUCAAGUUUGAAUCUGCUGCUUCAGUCUCCUCUGACAUCCUAAAUCGACUUGGCCCUGGCAACCACCAUUCUACCUUCUGUCUCUAUGGUUUUGACUACUCUUAAGCCUCUCACGAUGAAGAGCUAGUAUCUUACUCCGCCUCCUUCCUGUGGUGAGAGGUAACAGAAGAAAUAACGCUUCUGAAACGUUUCCUAAAUUAAGUUCAGCUAAUCUCACUUAAUUUCCUCUCAUGUAAAAUGUUUUCUGUUUACCAAUUAAAUUUGUUUGCCUUCUUUAGC